This 74-nucleotide small RNA is filed under the name Methylobacterium sp. 174MFSha1.1. Its description in RNAcentral is "suhB". It matches the Rfam family "Makes More Granules Regulator RNA (mmgR)". From Rfam's summary of the family: SuhB later renamed mmgR (makes more granules regulator) was a putative non-coding RNA found multiple times in the Agrobacterium tumefaciens genome and related alpha-proteobacteria. Lineage: Bacteria; Pseudomonadati; Pseudomonadota; Alphaproteobacteria; Hyphomicrobiales; Methylobacteriaceae. The record is from RNAcentral.
CUUGCCAGCCCUCUUGGGCGUUUCCUCCCUAGACUUCGGGCCACUCGCAAGGGUGGCCUUUUUUCUUUUCAGCG